This is a long non-coding RNA of Rhododendron vialii, 2745 nucleotides long. RefSeq lists it as uncharacterized. The transcript has 2 exons. NCBI's taxonomy places the organism in Eukaryota, Viridiplantae, Streptophyta, Magnoliopsida, Ericales, Ericaceae. The record is from RefSeq and is a predicted model, not a curated record.
UUCUUUAAAUUCUUGUCUUAACUUAUUAAAUUCCGAUUAAUUAGUUAAAGACCGCUUAAAAUCAAAUCAAGUUUUCAAAAUUUAAAAAAAAAUAUAUUCUUUGAUAAUCGAGAUUACUUAUUCACUAAGAAAGACCAUGAUUAGCGUCGAAAUGAUUUUGUGACGUUACGAUUAAAUUCUUAGAAUUUUUCGAAAAAUCGAAAACCAGACGAUCGAUCACCGCGAGACUUGUUUCGGCGUAUGCCCGUACCAAUUCCUACACUCACCCACACUAGAAUAUUUUUCCUCCUCCUCUCCCUCUCUCUGCCAUCUCUCUGUCUCUCACCCGAGCACACCCCUCUCUCUCUUUUCUUCUCCUUUCCAGCCUAUUGCCCUGCAAAAGAAAAAAAAACCCAGCUGGCAACAGCUUUCUCCAGCUGCCACCAGCUAGCUCCAGCCCAAAUUCCAGCCAUCCACCACCACCUCCGGCCAUCUCUCUCCUCUCCUUUUCUCUCCAAACCUCUAUAAAUACCACCCUUCCCCUCUCCAUCCGAACCACAGCAAACUCAACCCUCUCUCACCCUUUUGUGUGACCAUAAACCAGUAGAGAAAUUAGAAGAGAGACCGAGUUCCGGCCAUGGCCGUUUAGAGAGAGAAAUCGAGAAAUAAAAGUGGGUUUUCCACUUGCACCACCUCUUAAUCCGAAUUACCACUUCCAAACAUCCAUAACCACCUCAAGCAACUCAGGACCCUCCUCCAAUACCCCAGAGCCGAGCCGAUCAGCCGUGCUCCGGUCGUUUCUCCGGCAAACCGAAAAUUUCAAAAAAAAAAAAACUCGUUUAAAACUUGUUUUGAUCAAACCGAAGGUAUGUACCUCUUCUCCUACUCUCCCUAAGUAUAAUAGAGUGGUUUUGAUGAGUUAAAAGGGCUUCAAAUGAGCACGAACAAAAAAAAAAAAAAAAAACAGAAAGCUUACUGUUCGUUUUCUGCCAGAUUCACCAUUCUGAUAUUAUUUCUGGUCCCGACUAUCUAUUUGAUAUUAUUUAUGUAGACGAUGACCCUUUUGAUAUUUAUUUUAAAAUCUUUAUGAUAUUAUUAUUAUGAAAAACUACUGACCUGAUAUUAUUUUAUGACGGAAUAAUAUCAGUUUAGUAUAAAACGUGAUAAUUAUAUCACUUUGAUUUAUCUAAUAGAUUAAGUGGAUAAUUAGUAAUAUUUUUGUAAAAAAAAAAGGGAUUUGGAUUAUAGGUAUGCUCAAAUUCCUCUUACUAAUUGAUAAAUACAAAUAAUAUGUAAAAAAAAAAUAUUUUAAAUUAAUACUUUUAUUUAAUUUAAAAGAAAAGGAAAUUUGUAGAUAAAAAGUAUUUAUAAUAUUAGUUUAAUAUUAUUAUAAGUAAUAACCAUCCUUGUGAUAAUUAUUGUAAAAAAAAAUUUUAUUUUAAACUAUCUAAUAAUAUGUGGAUUAUUUUAUAAAAUCGUAAUAAUUAUUAAUUUGUCAUUAAAAAUUAAAAUCGUAAUAAUUAUUAAUUUGUCAUUGAAGAUUAAAAUCGUAAUAAUUAUUAAUUUAUUAUUAAAGAUUAAAAUGGUAAUAAUUAUUAAAUUGUUAUUAAAGAUUAAAAUAGUAAUAAUUCUUAAUUUGUGAUUAUAGAUUAUAAAAUUGUGGAAACGAAUUUCAUGGAUUUCAAUAAAGUUGUUAUUGCCUUAUUGUUACUACGUGAACGUAGAAAUUAGACAAUAGGUACCCCGGGUGGUAUUCGUACGUUGGAAUAAAUUGAUUAGACGUUAAAUCCCUAAGGAAAGUGAAAUUAUUGUUUAUAGUCACAGUUGUGACGUUACGGUCAGGAGAUAACCAGAGUGGCCGAGGACCGUGGGUUUCCUGAAAGAAUGGUCGUCGGUAUCGGCACUAGUGGUUUAAGACCGGUGGAUUAUCAUCUUGCGAACCCUGAAUAUGGCACUGUUGGAUUUAUCUUCCGGAUACUCCGGGGGUGGAUUUAUUGGAUGAAACCGGAGUAUGGGUAUCAUUUCUCGCGGUUGGUUGGUUAUCAUUCGCUCCUUGUGAUGGUACAGCCGAGUUCGACCCGACAUGUAGUUUGGUCUUAUUCGUCUGGGACCCCAGGCUGGGCAAGCAAGGGGAGGAUAAAUCGGCAGAGUCGCCAUAGUUCAGAGGUUGUUUGGGAGGAUUAUUUCUCAUGGUAGAGAAAUCUAGAAAACACUUAAGGACAAGAUAAUUCAUAAUAUGCUCCUAAUUGCUGUAACUUUAUUAUUCAUGCUCAUUAUUAUAUUAAUGCUUGUAUGUACCUCUUCUCCUACUCUCCCUAAGUAUAAUAGAGUGGUUUUGAUGAGUUAAAAGGGCUUCAAAUGAGCACGAACAAAAAAAAAAAAAAAAAACAGAAAGCUUACUGUUCGUUUUCUGCCAGAUUCACCAUUCUGAUAUUAUUUCUGGUCCCGACUAUCUAUUUGAUAUUAUUUAUGUAGACGAUGACCCUUUUGAUAUUUAUUUUAAAAUCUUUAUGAUAUUAUUAUUAUGAAAAACUACUGACCUGAUAUUAUUUUAUGACGGAAUAAUAUCAGUUUAGUAUAAAACGUGAUAAUUAUAUCACUUUGAUUUAUCUAAUAGAUUAAGUGGAUAAUUAGUAAUAUUUUUGUAAAAAAAAAAGGGAUUUGGAUUAUAGGUAUGCUCAAAUUCCUCUUACUAAUUGAUAAAUACAAAUAAUAUGUAAAAAAAAAAUAUUUUAAAUUAAUACUUUUAUUUAAUUUAAAAGAAAA